RNAcentral lists this long non-coding RNA (529 nucleotides) under Homo sapiens (human). RNAcentral describes it as "HSALNT0346197". Lineage: Eukaryota; Metazoa; Chordata; Mammalia; Primates; Hominidae. The record is from RNAcentral.
AAGACAGCGCUGCCUACACUCUGGGGUUACUUUCCAAGGGAGAGAACGGGGCCCUGAAAGGCUAAAACCAGAGCAGAAACGAUGAAGGUUGCUUGAGCAGGAAAUCCACCCAUGGCCCAAAGAGGAAAGAUCCGCUUUAAAUGCCUGGGCAUAUACUUCCAAGAACCAGAUGUGGCCUGUUCCUUACACCUCCCUGGGCUUAGAUGACAGCUUGAACUCUGCGGCUGAUGGAAUUGAGCAGAUGGGAAUGACCUGGAAUCUAACACUCUACAAUUCAGACACACCACUGUCCACUUGUCCCUCCCUUCCUGCCACUGGCCCUGCCAGCGUACCUUGUGUACUUCGCAAAGGUCACUGGCUCCUGUUUUAUGUAAUGACUGACAGACGAUCUCGCCCAGCUCAGCAAUGUGAACAGACACCUUGCAUGGUGCCGGUGGUGGGUGCGGUUGUUUCUGGAUGUCAUGGAAGAGGCUGGGGCAUACCAGGGCUUUCCCCAAUUGUGCCUAAAAUAAAUUGGCUCUUGGGAGGU